RNAcentral lists this unclassified non-coding RNA (247 nucleotides) under uncultured Sordariales. Its description in RNAcentral is "sequence contains 5.8S rRNA gene, ITS2, 28S rRNA gene". The stretch from base 1 to 52 matches the Rfam family "5.8S ribosomal RNA", at positions 103 to 154 of the family's 154-position model. Lineage: Eukaryota; Fungi; Ascomycota; Sordariomycetes; Sordariales. The record is from RNAcentral.
AACGCACAUUGCGCCCGCCAGUAUUCUGGCGGGCAUGCCUGUCCGAGCGUCAUUUCAACCAUCAAGCCCUAGGCUUGUGUUGGGGUCCUGCGGCCGCCGCAGCCCCCGAAAUACAGUGGCGGGCUCGCUGUCACUCCGAGCGCAGUAGGCAACUCUCGCUUGGGGCGUGGCGGCGGGUGCCGGCCGUGAAACCCUUCUAUAUCUCAAGGUUGACCUCGGAUCAGGUAGGAAUACCCGCUGAACUUAA